UAGGGAAUCUUCCGCAAUGGGCGAAAGCUUGACGGAGCAACGCCGCGUGAGUGAUGAAGGUCUUCGGAUCGUAAAACUCUGUUAUUAGGGAAGAACAAAUGUGUAAGUAACUAUGCACGUCUUGACGGUACCUAAUCAGAAAGCCACGGCUAACUACGUGCCAGCAGCCGCGGUAAUACGUAGGUGGCAAGCGUUAUCCGGAAUUAUUGGGCGUAAAGCGCGCGUAGGCGGUUUUUUAAGUCUGAUGUGAAAGCCCACGGCUCAACCGUGGAGGGUCAUUGGAAACUGGAAAACUUGAGUGCAGAAGAGGAAAGUAGAAUUCCAUGUGUAGCAGUGAAAUGCGCAGAGAUAUGGAGGAACACCAGUGGCGAAGGCGACUUUCUGGUCUGUAACUGACGCUGAUGUGCGAAAGCGUGGGGAUCAAACAGG
This 429-nucleotide ribosomal RNA is filed under the name Actinomycetes bacterium. RNAcentral describes it as "Actinobacteria bacterium partial 16S ribosomal RNA". It matches the Rfam family "Bacterial small subunit ribosomal RNA", at positions 355 to 776 of the family's 1533-position model. Lineage: Bacteria; Bacillati; Actinomycetota; Actinomycetes. The record is from RNAcentral.